This is a long non-coding RNA of Amphimedon queenslandica, 565 nucleotides long. RefSeq lists it as uncharacterized. The record is from RefSeq and is a predicted model, not a curated record. Lineage: Eukaryota; Metazoa; Porifera; Demospongiae; Haplosclerida; Niphatidae. The transcript is spliced from 3 exons.
CAUACAGGUUCAGUUAAACCAGAAAUUUGUGUAUUGACACGAAGGCAUGGCACAGAAGAAGUAAGAGUGCAAUUCGAUACAAUAUUUGUUAAUGGUUGACUGUUACAUUCACAAAAAAGAAUGUACGUUUAAGUUAAUCUUGUUUGUUGGAAAAUCUUGUCUCUGAUCUUUCUAGGGUGAUAGUCUUAAUGCAAGGUGUUAUAUUAACAAUUUUGAUGAUGCGGAAAAUUUUGGAGACUUCGAAAUUUUUGAACUUUUUGUAGUAAGAGAGGGAAGAAAAUUUGAGUUAAAUCAUGACAUCAAAAACUUGGAAGGUGCUUUGUUACAGUACAUGGAAGAGAGAGGAUUAAAUGAGGCUUUAAAGCUAGGCUUGUGGCAUUUCAAAAAAAUGGAAGAAUUUAAGUGCAAAAAAGGCUUAAUUGAGUCUCUAAAAGUCCUCCAGAGCUAUGUACAGAGUUAACAAUGUACAUGUACACAUGAAUAAUGUGAUAAUUGACUCUCUAUUUGUUUAUCUACUCUAUCAAACUUUUGAGCUGCUCAUUUGCCUUGAAUAUUGAAAAAAAAA